UACGGGGGGGGCAAGCGUUGUUCGGAAUUACUGGGCGUAAAGGGCUCGUAGGCGGCCAACUAAGUCGGAUGUGAAAUCCCCAGGCUUAACCUGGGAACUGCAUCCGAUACUGGAUGGCUUGAAUCCGGGAGAGGGAUGCAGAAUUCCAGGUGUAGCGGUGAAAUGCGUAGAUAUCUGGAGGAACACCGGUGGCGAAGGCGGUUCUCUGGGCAUUACCUGACGCUGAGGAGCGAAAGUGUGGGGAGCGAACAGG
Molecule: ribosomal RNA, 253 nt
Filed under: uncultured bacterium
Lineage: Bacteria
Description: partial 16S ribosomal RNA
Rfam family: Bacterial small subunit ribosomal RNA
Source: RNAcentral